GACGAACGCUGGCGGCGUGCUUAACACAUGCAAGUCGUACGGUAAGGCCCUUUCGGGGGUACACGAGUGGCGAACGGGUGAGUAACACGUGAGUAACCUGCCCACAACUUUGGGAUAACGCUAGGAAACUGGUGCUAAUACUGGAUAUGUGCUCCUGCUGCAUGGUGGGGGUUGGAAAGCUCCGGCGGUUGUGGAUGGACUCGCGGCCUAUCAGCUUGUUGGUGGGGUAGUGGCCUACCAAGGCGGCGACGGGUAGCCGGCCUGAGAGGGUGACCGGCCACAUUGGGACUGAGUUACGGCCCAGACGCCUACGGGGGGCAGCAGUGGGGAGUAGUGCACAAUGGGCGCCAGCCUGAUGCAGCAACGCCGCGUGCGGGAUGACUGCCGUCGGGUUGCAAACCGCUUUCAGCAGGGACGAAGCUUUGUGUGACGGUACCUGCAGAAGAAGCACCGGCUAACUACGUG
RNAcentral lists this ribosomal RNA (465 nucleotides) under uncultured bacterium. RNAcentral's name for it is "partial 16S ribosomal RNA". It matches the Rfam family "Bacterial small subunit ribosomal RNA", at positions 28 to 507 of the family's 1533-position model. The record is from RNAcentral.